This 4802-nucleotide long non-coding RNA is filed under the name Sarcophilus harrisii (Tasmanian devil). RNAcentral describes it as "lncRNA (ENSSHAG00000021821.1)". Lineage: Eukaryota; Metazoa; Chordata; Mammalia; Dasyuromorphia; Dasyuridae. The record is from RNAcentral.
AGCAGACAUUAAAAUCAAAAUUAUCUUUGAAAACUACCCAUAGAGUACAGUAUCUUUAAAAUGUGGCUGGCAGGGAACUAGGAUCUCUUUUUUUGAAAUUAUUUUAUUUGAAAAAACAGAUUAAGAAAAAUAGAAAGGAAAUACAAAACAAAAAAGAACAUUAUCAUGUGCCCAAAAGAACAUCAGAGAGGAUUCAAAAUAUAUAACAACAAAUUAACAGAUCAAGAAAGUAUAUAUAUGAAAUUAUAUUCAUAAAUGAUUAUUUUUUUUUACUUCCUUGUAAAUUGUUCUUUGAUUCUUUGCUUCUGCAUCUUAUUUACUUUAUUCUUUUUUCCACCUUCAUCCCCUUUACCAUGUCCAAGCAAGCUACAGUUAAGAAAAGAUAUGUUUAUAUAUAAAUAUAUCUGUCUAUACACACACUUAUAUACCCACAUACACAUAUGUCUUUCCUAUCCUUGCUGCUUCUUUAAUUGAGUUCUGCUCCAUAACUUGACUUGCUAUUACUUAAUCUUCCUCUGCCCAAAGAUAUUUCCCUAGUCUUUGUUCCUCACCCUUUGUUUCUCCAUCUGCCCAUCCUUUCCCCCUUACUUCUUUAUAGAUUUUAGAGAGUUCUAUACCCUUCAAAGUAAAUAUGUAGUGUCACCUAUUGAACCCAUUCCCUGAGUAGGUUUUCAGAACUACAAGCCCUCCUCCCCACUCCAAUGCCUCUCUGUCUAGUUUUCCUUUGCACCUCAAUUGUAUAACAUUAUUUCUAUUUUUACCUUAACUCUGUCAAUUUUCCUUUUGAGCUACCCUAUUGUUGAUGCAAAUGUUAAACAUAUAAUAGAUAUAUGUAUACAUAUAUAAAAACAUAAUUAGUCCAUGUUUAAACAGUUUGUCCAUGUUAAGUUCCUUAAAAUUGAUCUUUCAUAUUGGCUCUUAUAUAUUAAAUUUUCUGUUAAGUUUGGGUUUCGUUGAUAGAAAGUCCUGAAAAUCUGCAACUUUAUUGAAUGUCCAUUUUUUUCUCAUUCAUAAUUAUAGAUUAUUUUGCUAGAUAUGAUAUUUUGGGCUGUAGGCUUAAUUCUUUUGAUUAUUAGUAGAUAAUGAGUCCAAAUUUUCCCCUCCUUCCCCCCGCCCCCUCCCCUAGAUGGCAGGUAGUCCAAUACAUGUUGUUACAUGUUAUGUUACAAUAUAUGUUAAAUCCAAUAUAUGUACACAUAUUUAUACAGUUAUCUUGCUGCACAAGAAAAAUCAGAUCAAGAAGGAAAAAACCAAGAAAGAAAACAAAAUGCAAGCAAACAACAACAGAAAAAGUGAAAAUGCUUUGUUGUGGUCUACAUUCAGUUCCCACAGUCCUCUCUCUGGGCAUCCAUUCAGUUUCCCAGUUUCUUGCCACUACAAAGAGGGUUGCCACAAACAUUUUUGGACAUGUGAGUCCCUUUCCCUUCUUUAAGAUCUCUUUGGGAUAUAAUCUUAGUAGAAACACUGCUGGAUCAAAGAUUAUGCACAAUUUGAUAAAUUUUGAGCUCCAAAUUACUCUUCCUGAAUAGCUGGAUCCAUUCACAAUUCUACCAACAAUGUAUUUGUCUCCCAGUUUUCCCUCCAGCAUUCGUCAUUAUCUUUUCCUAUCCUCUUAGCCAAUCUGAGAGGUGUGUAGUGGUAUCUAAGAGUUGUCUUUAUUUGCAUCUCUCUGAUCAAUAGUGAUUUAGAGCACCUUUUCAUAUGACUAGAAAUGAUUUUAAUUUCUUCAUCUGAAAAUUGUCUGUUCAUAUCCUUUGGCCAUUUAUCAAUUGGGGAAUGGCUUGAAUUCUUAUAAAUUUGAAUUAAUUCUCUAUAUAUUGUAGAAAUGAGGCCUUUAUUAGAAACCUCUAAAUGUAAAAACGUUUUCCCAAUUUGUGAGCAUUUAAUUUUUAAGACUUCAAAAAUUUAUUGUAUUUUAUUAAUAACUUCAUUUUAACUUUCAUGUUGAAAAAAAAAGAGACAGAGGUAUGUGGAGUUACUGGUAUCCUAUUAGGCGCUUCACUAGUUUUCUUCACCCUAUUAUUGUAAAGAAUUCUCUGUGCAUCCACUGCAUAAAGUACAGUGGAAGUCCUUUGGGCUUUAAGGUGAUAUUGAAACCUCACCAGUCUCUAUGUCUUCCAAAUGUAGCAACUAAAGUCCCAGCAAUCUCUCCUUUGGUUUUCAGAGGCCAGCCAAGGUAGAGAGGUUUACAGCCAGAUAGCAUUUAGCAUAACUUAUUUACACUGCUAUCUGACACAGUGGAAGGUAAAAUUCAGAUUUUAAAAAGUUUUAGUUUUAAUCAUCUUAUUUGCUGUACUAUAUUUAUGGCAUGGAUUUCAUGUGGUAUGAAAAGUGAAUAUUGUCUGAAAUAAAAAUUUUUAUAUUCAGAUGUUAGCACAAAAGAUGUUAGCACAGAAUUCUCAGGAAUUACUAGUGCGAAAAAUGUUUUGCAUAUUAUCAAUUUAUUUUGUUUAUUGCAUUUUGUGUAUUAUUUCAUGGUUUCAUAUUUUCAGAAUCAAUAUUUUUAAAUAAAAGUUAUAUGCAGAACACUAUAUUUUCAAUAAUGUCUAGUUUUAAGUGAUUGCAGGAACCUAACCCUCUACUUUUCAUAGCUACAGUGUAUCGACAUUUAAGUUUUUUUACUUUUGCACCAUUUUCUAGUAAUAUUAAUCUUAUGAAAAUUGAUGAUUGAUUAUGAUUUUUCUUGAACAAUUCCUACAUGAAUAUCCUUGACAAAGUUUUUCAUAGGCCAGUAUGCCUGCACUUACUUGGUAUUGGUAGAAUACCAGUUAACCCCCAAUAGUCCUUUUGGAUUUUUUUUUAAAGGAAAAUGAGUUGGAAAAAAGCCAUUGAGACUCAUACCAUUUUGGCUAACCACUCAGAAUAUAGCAGUGGACCUAGCUAACAACUCAGAACAUGGCAGAGAGCACUUAUAAUUGAUUAUCUUAUUUUACUAUAGGUAUAGUAGUAGAAGAAAACAAUUUCAGGUUCAUGCAAAAAUGAUUCUGAUACAUAUUGUGAGAUUUUGAAAGUAAUUUUCCUUUUGAAUGUAGAUAUUUUGGUUGCUAUAAAAAUUUUGGAAGGGAAAUUGAAAAAAAUCAGCUUGCGGAGAAAUACAGACCACCAGACAAAAUGUUGAGGACUGACAGUUCUGCUCCUCAAAUAAUAUACUAAAAAGUCCUGUUUGAAAGCUCUAUGGAGGUGACAAUGGUUUCAAGACACUGUGGCUUAUCAGCUCAUUUUCAUGUAACUGUCAUCAGAGUUUAAAAAGUUAUAUCUAAGGAACUAUAUAUAAAUCAAAUAACUUUGGAUACCAUAGAAAAUUUAUAUAGAGACUAUUGAGGUCAUAUUUGACAGAAAGAUGGAUAAUUCAAGUUUUACAUAGAUGAGUUAUUUUUAUGAGAUGACCCUGAUCUGGGACAUUAGAAAUCUUAGGAGAAAGAUGAGAUGACUAGAUGAUAGGAGAAAAGGAGUUAGAAAAGACAGAAUACAAGAGGUGAAGAAAAUUGAUCAAAGCUGAGGUAGGGCUUGCAACAGUUUCCUGGAGAUUGUGAUGACUGGAAGACAAAUCUUGCUUUUCCAAGAACUGCAAAUUCCUAUUUAUAGAUUGAAUGGAGAAAUCUUUCAAAGACUUACUUUUGUAUUGCCCUCCUUUAUCCUUUCUGGCUUAAGAAGGAGUAAUAAAGAGGGAAAGCGUUGCUUUGCUGACAGCAAAUUGGAUAAAAUGAAAUCUGAUAUUUAAGAGUUUGUUGGACAUUAACUGGAAGACUCUAAUGAAAUUUACUGCUUGAGACUCAGGUUCUUCAGAUCCUCAAAAUAGAUAUCAGGAUAAGCAUUCAUUAAAUGUUUACAAUAUGUCAGAGCUAAAUACUGUGUAUACAAAGAAAGGCAAAAACAUGAUCUAGAUGCAUAUUCUUUCUGUAGUCUAGGCUCCCUUUCCAGUCUUGAAUCAACUAUCUCAAUGAAUCUAAAUCUGGAUUUCUGAGAAACCAGACCUAUUGCUUAGAUAGCAUAUCCACUUAAUGCUUACCUCAGGAUUUAGGUUGUACAGACUAGAAAUCUUUCAGAUUCAAAAUCUGAUGUGGAGUUUCCUUUAUGUAUCUUUAGCAACCCAUGUAUCUUAUCUGGGAACUACCUCCAUGAUGAUCAAUCACUUACUGUUUCUUUGUUCCUUUGUUUGAACUCUAUAUAAUCCAUAACAUUAUGAACACUUACAGGAAGUGGGUCAUUCCUUUUGCAGCUUCUCCAUCUGCCAGACAACUUCAUAUUUAUUGUUUACAAAUUAUUUCACAUCUAGGUUCUGUUUUCUGACACAGAAAUUAUGGUGUCAGAAGUGGGAUCUCUGAGGGUCAACCUGUGGAGCAAGACUGAGAAGGGAUCAAUCAGCAAGAACUAAACUCCAAUGUACUCUGAAGUCCAAUGUGGCCCCAGUUCCCAGCAGACCUCCAGGGCUUAUUCUGUUUCAAGAGACGAUUACCCUCACCAUAGCAAUAUCAUGUUUGCAUGGUUACAAGGACUUCCACAGAGGAAAAGAUAUUCCUGGCAACCCAAACUUGAAAUAAUCCUGGGAUUUCCCAGGUUUAAAUUUGAUUCCCUCCAUCCAUUCAUGAAGAAUUUACAUACUAAAGCAAAUUGUGAUGGGUGUUUGGUUGUUUGUUUGUUUAAUGGUGAACUGGUAUUUGUACCAAAGUAAGACUGUAUAAAAAUGCUUGUCAAUUUAAAAAACUCUUAUGAUAGUUAAUAAAUUAUAAGCAUCUUCAGAAAUGGACCAUGUUAAGUCAAGAUGCAUUUAUUAAUCAUUUAGCAGGAAUCAAGCACUUUGC